GGGCUGUAGCCUGUUGGCGAGCGCGUCCUUCGCAAGGACGAGGCCGUCGGUUCGAUCCCGAUCAGCUCCA
RNAcentral lists this transfer RNA (70 nucleotides) under Elusimicrobiota bacterium. Its description in RNAcentral is "Elusimicrobia bacterium (activated sludge metagenome) tRNA-Ala". It matches the Rfam family "tRNA". Rfam says of the family: Transfer RNA (tRNA) molecules are approximately 80 nucleotides in length. The record is from RNAcentral. Lineage: Bacteria; Pseudomonadati; Elusimicrobiota.